This is a non-coding RNA of Cricetulus griseus (Chinese hamster), 399 nucleotides long. The record is from the annotation of a RefSeq genome assembly. Lineage: Eukaryota; Metazoa; Chordata; Mammalia; Rodentia; Cricetidae.
AUGACUGCGGUCCCCAUCCUUCUUACCCUCCUCAUUCUCUGCUCAGGGUCCUGGGCACAGCCUAGGUUGAGUCAGGAAGCCUCCAUAUCUGGUUCUGUUGGACAACAAGUCACCCUCAUUUGUACUGGAAGUGGUGGUGAUGUUGGAGCAUAUGAUGCAUCCUGGCACAAAGAAAUUCCAGGUGAUGUCCCCAAAUUUAUGACAAUUGGCUAUUCUCGACCAUUUAGUGAUACAUAUUACCUAACUAUGACGGACCUCAAGCCUGAAGAUGAGGCCAGUUAUUACUGUUCAACAUGGGAUAGCAGCACAAAUGCUCACACAGUGCUUCAGAUGCAUGGGGAACUGAGACAAAAUUAUUCCCCUGACCUUUACUACCCUACCCAUGCCAUGAUGGUCUAA